GCUGCAUUAUGCAUCAAAAA
This 20-nucleotide small nuclear RNA is filed under the name Arabidopsis thaliana (thale cress). Its description in RNAcentral is "snRNA_13093". Lineage: Eukaryota; Viridiplantae; Streptophyta; Magnoliopsida; Brassicales; Brassicaceae. The record is from RNAcentral.